UUCGCAAUGCCCGAAAGGGUGACGAAGCGACGCCGCGUGUGGGAAGAAGGCCUUCGGGUUGUAAACCACUGUCGGGAGUUAAGAAAUACAAGGAUAUGAAUAGUGUCUUUGUUUGACUAAGGCUCCGGAGGAAGCCACGGCUAACUCUGUGCCAGCAGCCGCGGUAAUACAGAGGCGGCAAGCGUUGUUCGGAAUUAUUGGGCGUAAAGAGCACGUAGGCGGCUAUGUAAGUCGGUUGUGAAAGCCUUCCGCUCAACGGAAGAACAGCAUCCGAUACUACAUGGCUUGAGUGCGGGAGGGGAGAGUGGAACUUCUGGUGGAGCGGUGAAAUGCGUAGAUAUCAGAAGGAACGCCGGCGGCGAAAGCGGCUCUCUGGCCCAUAACUGACGCUGAGUGUGCGAAAGCUAGGGGAGCAAACGGGACUAGAUACCCCGGUAGUCCUAGCCGUAAACGAUGGGCACUAAGUAGAGGGGUUUU
This 477-nucleotide ribosomal RNA is filed under the name uncultured bacterium. Its description in RNAcentral is "bacterial SSU rRNA". It matches the Rfam family "Bacterial small subunit ribosomal RNA", at positions 365 to 832 of the family's 1533-position model. The record is from RNAcentral.